GCUGAUGCGUUGUUGGGUAGGGGAGCGUUCUGUAAGCCUGCGAAGGUGUGUCGUGAGGCAUGCUGGAGGUAUCAGAAGUGCGAAUGCUGACAUAAGUAACGAUAAAGCGGGUGAAAAGCCCGCUCGCCGGAAGACCAAGGGUUCCUGUCCAACGUUAAUCGGGGCAGGGUGAGUCGACCCCUAAGGCGAGGCCGAAAGGCGUAGUCGAUGGGAAACGGGUUAAUAUUCCCGUACUUGGUGUUACUGCGAAGGGGGGACGGAGAAGGCUAUGUUGGCCGGGCGACGGUUGUCCCGGUUUAAGCGUGUAGGUGUGUGUUCCAGGUAAAUCCGGUUCACUUUAACACUGAGGCGUGACGACGAGGCACUACGGUGCUGAAGCAACAAAUGCCCUGCUUCCAGGAAAAGCCUCUAAGCAUCAGGUAACAUCAAAUCGUACCCCAAACCGACACAGGUGGUCAGGUAGAGAAUACCAAGGCGCUUGAGAGAACUCGGGUGAAGGAACUAGGCAAAAUGGUGCCGUAACUUCGGGAGAAGGCACGCUGACACGUAGGUGAAGUGAUUUACUCAUGGAGCUGAAGUCAGUCGAAGAUACCAGCUGGCUGCAACUGUUUAUUAAAAACACAGCACUGUGCAAACACGAAAGUGGACGUAUACGGUGUGACGCCUGCCCGGUGCCGGAAGGUUAAUUGAUGGGGUCAGCGCAAGCGAAGCUCCUGAUCGAAGCCCCGGUAAACGGCGGCCGUAACUAUAACGGUCCUAAGGUAGCGAAAUUCCUUGUCGGGUAAGUUCCGACCUGCACGAAUGGCGUAAUGAUGGCCAGGCUGUCUCCACCCGAGACUCAGUGAAAUUGAACUCGCUGUGAAGAUGCAGUGUACCCGCGGCAAGACGGAAAGACCCCGUGAACCUUUACUAUAGCUUGACACUGAACAUUGAGCCUUGAUGUGUAG
RNAcentral lists this ribosomal RNA (947 nucleotides) under Salmonella enterica. RNAcentral's name for it is "partial 23S ribosomal RNA". It matches the Rfam family "Bacterial large subunit ribosomal RNA", at positions 1213 to 2141 of the family's 2925-position model. RNAcentral also lists the same sequence under 1 other name. Lineage: Bacteria; Pseudomonadati; Pseudomonadota; Gammaproteobacteria; Enterobacterales; Enterobacteriaceae. The record is from RNAcentral.